Molecule: long non-coding RNA, 381 nt
Filed under: Lathyrus oleraceus (garden pea)
Lineage: Eukaryota; Viridiplantae; Streptophyta; Magnoliopsida; Fabales; Fabaceae
Description: Pisum sativum (pea) long non-coding RNA (PSAT_LNC029405)
Source: RNAcentral
GAUCACAUAACCCAACUUAUGGGCUUCCACAACAGCGCCCACCACUGCCUUCUGCUCAGAUGGUUGGAGUGCACAACCCAGUGUCUGAAUUUCCAUCUCAAAUGGCAGCACCUCAGCGAUACCAAACACAACCUUCUCAAGUUGCAGGAACACAUAACCAACCUUCUGGGUAUCCAACUCAAAUGGCAACACAAAACUCCUCACCACGCUUCGAUACUCGAACGGCUGGAGCACGCAACCCGCCUUCUGAGUUUCCUUCUCAAAUGGCAGCACCUCAACGAUACCAAACACCGCCUUCUCAAGUGGCAGGAACACAUAAUCAAUCUUCUGGAUUAUCGGCUCAAAUGCAAGUACAAAAUUUCCCACCAAACUUUGAUAAUC